This is a long non-coding RNA of Girardinichthys multiradiatus, 702 nucleotides long. RefSeq lists it as uncharacterized. The transcript has 4 exons. Lineage: Eukaryota; Metazoa; Chordata; Actinopteri; Cyprinodontiformes; Goodeidae. The record is from RefSeq and is a predicted model, not a curated record.
CCCAACGAUGGAGUCCGAGUCCAAAUAACUUAGAGUCGAUGUGAAGGGAAUUCAUUGUGCCAUGGCAUCUUACCAAAUGAGGCUGAUUGAGACACCUCAGUUAACAGAGGAUGGAGAGGCAAGAGAUGGAUGGUUUACCAAACUGCAGCUUAACAAGGAUCAAGGAGGGAUCUUCUGGAAAAUCCAGAGACUGAGGAACACCAGCCAUCAAGGGAUUCUGCUCCUUUUAAGCACCUCCUGAUUGGUUCAACGAGCUGCAGCUGCGGAGCCUGUCAGUCACACCCUGCUGAAGAGCCUGUUCACACUGUUCAAAAAAUGGCUGUAAUUUCUCCUCCUGGUCAGCAGGAGGCAGCGACAGCAGGAGUCUGAAAAUCAAGAAGGAGGAAGUGGUUGUGCUGUACGUUUUAACAAUACGUUUUAAAAUGUAUUUUUAUUCUUUAUUUUGGCGUUAAGAUGUGCAUCAAACAGUUGUUAUUAAAGGUCAAACAUAUUUUCAACCCAUAUGAGCGCUGUUGGGUUGUUGGUCUUUUGGAGAAGGUUGAAAAUAGAGAUGUUCUGUCAGUUAGCUUAGUUAGCCUUUUAUCCAUGCUAAAGCAGUGUUGCAUUGUGGGUAGUCAAACUGCGUUUUAAACCAUAAAUCCAACCUUAAAACUUUGUUUUUCAAUUUUCUGCAACAGUCAUUCCAGUAUUUUUAACUGGUGU